CAGCGCUUGGGGCUGCCCUGGGGUUUGCAGACGGUGAGGGUGUUGGCUGGGCUUUGCCUUCAUCCACUGAAAGGCUGUGCCUCCCAGCGGCCACCACUGCCAGGCUGGUGGCACACGUGGUAGGAACAAGGAGGUCGAUUGCAGGAUUCUGGGCAGUGUCCAGGGGAAGUGGCUGCCAGGUUCCCUUCCUCCUGGUCCAGCCUCAGGAGGCAGCCAGCAGGAGCCCUGGGCCGAGUCUGCACAGGAGCUGGUAGGUCACAGGAGGGCUCAGGGUCACAGUGCCGUCGGGAGGGAGGCAGACUCACUUUAUGACAAGGGCUCUCGUGACAGCUGGCCCCUCCUGAGAUCCCACCCUGUCACUUCCCAUCGGGCCCCUCCCCACUGUCGCACUGGGGCUCAGUUUCCAACUCAUGAACAUGGCGGGCACAUUAGACAGUGCCCAGCCGUCCCCUGACCACUUACUCUGGCUCUGGGUAUGCGAGGACCGCGGACCCCUCCUUGCUCUGAGUCAGAGCUCUGCAAACUUGAGGUGCGUGAGAAUCACCAGGAAACCUUGCGAGACCCAGACUCGUCCUCCCUCCUGAGCUGCAGGUGGGGCAGCAAGAAUGGACAGAGUGAGAGGUCAGCAGAAGAUACUGAAGGACAGAGAGGGGGGCAGGGGCUUGUCCUGGACGGUGGCAGGAGUCACGGAUAACAACGAGUGAACUGGGGCUCCCCAGGGGCCACAUCAGUCUUCUCUUCUGUGGCUCCUCCACGUCCACCCCACCUGAACACUUGCUGUUCCCUGAGCAGAGCAUUGCUCACCCCACUGACCCACUGAUAGCUCCGUAGGCCAGGCCCUGGGUGUGGCUGAAGCUGCUGAGCCCCAGGGGUUCCUGGGGCAUCGAGGGCUGAGAGUCCCCUCCCCUCCUCUCCGAGCACCGUGCCUCUGCCACUGGUGAGCCCGUCCCCAGCGCUGCGGCAGGACCUGCUCCCUGG
RNAcentral lists this long non-coding RNA (978 nucleotides) under Marmota monax (woodchuck). Lineage: Eukaryota; Metazoa; Chordata; Mammalia; Rodentia; Sciuridae. The record is from RNAcentral.